This 468-nucleotide ribosomal RNA is filed under the name uncultured bacterium. RNAcentral describes it as "partial 16S ribosomal RNA". It matches the Rfam family "Bacterial small subunit ribosomal RNA", at positions 28 to 507 of the family's 1533-position model. The record is from RNAcentral.
GACGAACGCUGGCGGCGUGCUUAACACAUGCAAGUCGAACGGAAAGGCGCUGCUUUUGUUGGGUGCUCGAGUGGCGAACGGGUGAGUAACACGUGAGUAACCUGCCCUUGACAUUGGGAUAACAUCAGGAAACUGGGGCUAAUACAGCAUAGGAGCUCCUGCUGCAUGGUGGGGGUUGGAAAGUUUCGGCGGUUGGGGAUGGACUCGCGGCUUAUCAGCCUGUUGGUGGGGUAGUGGCUUACCAAGGCUUCGACGGGUAGCCGGCAUGGGAGGGUGACCGGCCACAUUGGGACUGAGAUACGGCCCAGACUCCUACGGGAGGCAGCAGUGGGGAAUAUUGCACAAUGGGCGGAAGCCUGAUGCGGCAACGCCCCGUGCGGGAUGACGGCCUUCGGGUUGUAAACCGCUUUCGCCUGUGACGAAGCGUGAGUGACGGUAAUGGGUAAAGAAGCACCGGCUAACUACGUG